GAGUUUGAUCCUGGCUCAGGAUGAACGCUAGCGGCAGGCUUCAUACAUGCAAGUCGAGGGGUAACAGGGAGUGCUUGCACUCCGCUGACGACCGGCGAACGGGUGCGUAACGCGUAUGCAACCUGCCUAUUACAGGGAGAUAGCCAAAAGAAAUUUUGAAUAAUAUCCCAUAAGAUCAUUUUAUUACAUGGUAUUAUGAUGAAAACUUCGGUGGUAAUAGAUGGGCAUGCGUCCUAUUAGUUUGUUGGUAAGGUAAUGGCUUACCAAGACUACGAUAGGUAGGGGUCCUGAGAGGGAGAUCCCCCACACUGGUACUGAGACACGGACCAGACUUCUACGGGAGGCAGCAGUAAGGAAUAUUGGACAAUGGAGGAAACUCUGAUCCAGCCAUGUCGCGUGCAGGAAGAAUGCCUUAUGGGUUGUAAACUGCUUUUUUAAAGGAAGAAAUACUCAUUCGUGAAUGGGUUUGACGGUACUUUAAGAAUAAGGAUCGGCUAACUCCGUGCCAGCAGCCGCGGUAAUACGGAGGAUCCAAGCGUUAUCCGGAAUGAUUGGGUUUAAAGGGUCCGCAGGCGGUUUGUUAAGUCAGAGGUGAAAUCCUACCGCUCAACGGUAGAACUGCCUUUGAUACUGGCAAACUUGAGUUAUUGUGAAGUAAUUAGAAUGUGUAGUGUAGCGGUGAAAUGCUUAGUUAUUACACAGAAUACCGAUUGCGAAGGCAGAUUACUAACAAUUAACUGACGCUCAGGGACGAAAGCGUGGGUAGCGAACAGGAUAGAUACCCUGGUAGUCCACGCCGUAAACUAUGGUCACUAGCUGUUUGGCAUGCAUUGGUAGGCUGAGUGGCUAAGCGAAAGUGAUAAGUGACCCACCUGGGGAGUACGCUCGCAAGAGUGAAACUCAAAGGAAUUGACGGGGGCCCGCACAAGCGGUGGAGCAUGUGGUUUAAUUCGAUGAUACGCGAGGAACCUUACCAGGGCUUAAAUGUAAGUUGCAUAGAUCAGAGAUGAUCUUUUNUUCGGNNUACUUACAAGGUGCUGCAUGGUUGUCGUCAGCUCGUGCCGUGAGGUGUCAGGUUAAGUCCUAUAACGAGCGCAACCCCUAUCGUUAGUUGCCAUCAAGUAAAGUUGGGAACUCUAACGAAACUGCCGGUGCAAACCGAGAGGAAGGUGGGGAUGACGUCAAAUCAUCACGGCCCUUACGUCCUGGGCUACACACGUGCUACAAUGGCCGGUACAGAGAGCAGCCACUUUGCGAAAAGGAGCGAAUCUAUAAAACCGGUCUCAGUUCGGAUCGCAGUCUGCAACUCGACUGUGUGAAGCUGGAAUCGCUAGUAAUCGCAUAUCAGCCAUGAUGCGGUGAAUACGUUCCCGGGCCUU
This 1379-nucleotide ribosomal RNA is filed under the name uncultured marine bacterium. Its description in RNAcentral is "bacterial SSU rRNA". It matches the Rfam family "Bacterial small subunit ribosomal RNA", at positions 9 to 1382 of the family's 1533-position model. The record is from RNAcentral.